GGCAGAAAUGACUGGCAGAAUCCGAGACCAGGGAGAAGAGUCGGUGAAAGAAGAUUGGAAGAAAUUUAAAGAUUAUUUACAGAAAUAUUGUAAAAUUAAGGAAUCUUAGAAGGAUGUUGGAUAGAAACUAAGUGGUUUCCAGCUGUAAUGCUUUAAGAGAUAUGAAAAAAGGUUUACAAAUGGGUAAAGCUUAAUGGUAAGGAUUUGCUGAACU
Podarcis lilfordi (Lilford's wall lizard) is the source of this 214-nucleotide non-coding RNA. NCBI's taxonomy places the organism in Eukaryota, Metazoa, Chordata, Lepidosauria, Squamata, Lacertidae. The record is from the annotation of a GenBank genome assembly.